This 4478-nucleotide long non-coding RNA is filed under the name Capsicum annuum. Its description in RNAcentral is "long non-coding RNA (CANN_LNC020474)". The record is from RNAcentral. Lineage: Eukaryota; Viridiplantae; Streptophyta; Magnoliopsida; Solanales; Solanaceae.
UCUUUUACAAUAGCCUAAAUUUUAAACUCAGAUUUCAAUCUCAACCAUCGAUCAAGUUUGAUCUAAGGGAUGAAAUUAAAUCCUCCCCUCUUUUCUUUCUUAACCUAAAAAGAACCCUCAUCCCUCAUUCCAUCAAAAAGGCCGCCCCUCUCUACUUUCUCUCUCUAAUCUCCCUCUUUUUCGGCGAACACUCUCUUCUCCGGCGACGCAGCGACUACCGUUGUCGCCGACCCCCCCGUCCCUCCAUCGUCCUUCUCCACCGGCGUCAUCCACCAUCAAUGCUCCACCUACCAAUAGCGAACCAGCAGCUGCUGCAGUGGUUCUCCCUCUCCUCUCCAUUGCUGAUAGCCGCCAUCUGCCGGCGAAAGCUAGCCGCUAUUUUCUCUUCUCCUUCGGUGAAGAAACGCCAACAACUGCCAUGCGACACCAAUAACCAAAACCAGCCGCUGCGCCUCCAACCACCACAUCCAACCGCCGACGUCACCACCAAACACCGAAUCCACCGGAGAAGCAGUCAACAGCCACCGCUUUAAGUUCUAAGCAAAUAUUACCGAAAAAUAUAGAAUGUCACGACGGAUUCUCUGAAUCUGUCACAGGUUCAUCUCUCUAUUUAAAUUCAUGCCCAACUUAUCAUUAGACAGAUCGAUUAGUAUAUUUGAAAUAGAUGGAAUUUGGCUAGAUUUAUUGACUGUACAUUUAUUUUAUACUGUUGAAUUGACAUAUGGAAAGAACCCGAAAUAUCAUUAUUAUUUUGAAUCGGGCACUGAAUGGUUCAAGUUUGAUUGUUUUCUUGUUUGUUAAAUUGAGUCCAGUGAACAUGGUGUUCUCGUUGGUGACAUAAUAAGUUUUAUUUAACUAUUUCUGAUAUAUUUGACAUGAAUUUUUUUUCCUUGUGAGAUUCUUUUUUUGGAAAAUUUUCAGGAAAACCCACACCGCUAACCUUUGCCACAGCCUCUACCCUUCGGGUGAGCACUUUGUGGUGAGUACUGUGUGCACACUGGAUAAACCCCGAUGCAGUAGCCUGUAAACCACGGGAUGUAAACCGCACUAGGCAAGUCCUGUGCGAUAGACUCAUGGCUCAAAGGCAUUGAGGGAGGAUUCGAUCCCGGAUAGCUGUGGUGGGCUACCACCCUCCAAACCAGUGAGCCAGUCCCGAAGGAGCCUUAUUUGAUUCUACUGUUGCUCGAUGAGAAUAUGUCAUCGGACUGAUUUUGGUCCAUUUUACCUAUGUGGUUAUGAAAAUUUCAGCAUUUUGAUUAGGAUAGAUUUUACACUUAAUUAUUUAUGGCAAUCAUUGAUUUACCAUUUAUUGAUAAUUAUGUUAGCCCUCAUGUUUAUUGAUCGUCCUUCCUAUGUUAAAGCAUGAUUGGUUCUUUUUUUGGUACGAUUUAUUCGGUUAUUUUGAUUAAUAUGUUGUCCCUCUUUAGUUUAAAUUAUAGUAUUCUAUUAUGGUAAAUUACGUUUUUUUGAUUGAUAUUAUUUCUCCUUAAUUUAACAUGGUACGUGCUUAUUUAUGGUAAAUUCAGUCUUUUAUAUCUUAAUUUGAUUCAAUUAUCUCUCUUAAGGAAAAUGAUAUUGCUAAUUCAUUUUUUUUCUAAACAUUUGUUUCCUUUUAUUGUUGGACUGAUUUAUGGAUGAUUGUUGAAUUAUUCAAAAUUUUCUCUUUAAUUGUUUUACUAGUAUAUUUUCUUUUCCUCCUCAAUUUCUGAAAUUGAUUUUUUUUUAUAUUUUUUCCUUUUAUACCACGGUAUCCCUUCCACUAUAUAAAGAGCCCUCUUUCUCUUAGUUUUGGGCACUGAGAAUUUACAACUGAGUUACCUUCUCUGACUGAAAACUCAAAAUAAAAAAAAAGAAAAUGUGAUUUUAAUUUAUUAUUUUGGCACUCAUCUUUGGAGCAUCAAUCUUGGCAAUUCGUUCUCGGAUUUUGUGCUUCUUGAUUUUUCUUUUUGUUAUUAUUAUCCGUUAUCGUCAAUCGGUAAGUCACUAAUCGAUGCACUUCUUUCUUAUUCCAUAGUAUUUGUGAUUGCAAAACAUUGAAAGCAUGUCUAUAGGAAUUAAUUUCAAAUAACGCUUGCUUAAUAUGCCUUUGUUUUUUUUGUUCCUCUGUUUAAGAUGAUGUGUUGUUUAAGAUUAUGUGUUGGUGUAUUCUAGUGCUCUUUUGUGCUUGCCUUGCUCUUUUGAUUUGUAUCUAAAAGGUAUCAUUAAGUGGUGUUUUGGGGAUCGCAGGAGUAGCUGAGGUAUUUAUAAUGGACUAUAUUUGUUCUUUCUAUUUAUUUUUUAUUUUUUUUAUAUUUGGUUUGUAAUAUUAUUGUUCUAACAUUAUUAUGUUGUAAUAAUAAAUAUUGGGGACUGCUUGGGGGUGGGGAUUUACGUGCUCUAUGAAUAGUAUAGAUAGACAAAACUUAGGUUUUAUGUUCGUUACGUGCUACGUGGAUCAUUUAGGCACACAAAUCUAGGAUUUAUUGACACUUGAAUCAUUUAGAUGCUUAAUCUACGGUUUAUUAAUUAAUCCGCUUAGCAUUAUUGAUUUUAGGAUUUAACUGAAUCCGACAUUCUAAAUUAGAUUUGACACUAAGCAUAUUGAUAUAUUUUGCAUGCUUGCAUAUUAAUUAUUUCCAGUACGUCUAAUAUAAUUUUCAGCAUGUUUAAUAAUAAUUUCCUGUAUGUUUAAUAAUAUUUUCAGCACGUUUAGUAUAAUUUCAGCAUGUUAAUAUAAGGUUAAGCAUUAAGGAAUAAGUCCCCAACAUAUUAAUUUGAAUGUUAGACAUAUUUUCCUACAUACCAAGUCAUUUUCUUAAGCAUGAGAUUUAAGUAUGUCAAUGCGCGUUGAGCAUGUUCACGUUACAUUCUAACAUGUCAAUACAAUAUAUUUUGCAUAUUAAUUCAUUCUCAACACUAAAUGAUGUAUUUUCCGCAUGUUAAUCGGCUUCCUAGUUAAUUUUUUUUUUCAACAUUAUCAUUAGUCUAUAACACAAUAUUGCAUAAUUAAAGGAUAUCAGUUAGACAUGUUUGCCUUUGACAUGCUUCUAUUCACAACACUUUGUUUAACACUUAGAUAUCAUGUCCAUAGGUUUAAUUAUCUUUCACACAAUAAAUUAAUGUUCUCAUGCUUGCUUAGAUAUGUCCUUUUUAUUCUCAUGAAAUUUUACCACAUUAUUAUAAAUGUUUUGGUAGUAACUUUCAGUAAAUAAUUGCGUAACCCCAUAGAUAUCAUCCCUAUAGGUUAACUAAAUAAAAUAAGUAAUUAUUUGCCUUUGCAUGUUAAUCACAUUAAUCAACUUUAAUUAACCAAGAGGGUAACUUGAGACAAUUAUGUGCUAUGUGACCUACUUGUUAUGCGUUUUGAAUCCUAGGUAACAUAGCUUUAUUUUGUUUAGACCACAAAAUCAAAAUAGCAAAGUCCAUUGCCUCUUCGACGAUAGGUCGAACGAUAAGUAUUACUAAAGACGGUAGUUUAUCUUUGUCAUAUAACACCUUUAGAUUUAACAACCAGCCUACGGGUAGUCAUUUGGAAGUAAUGAUCUCCAACAGAUAUUAACGGUAAGACUAAUGACAUUGUCAUUUGUCUAAGAAUUCGGCCAUUGAGUCGGAAAAUGAUUAGACAAGUUGGGGUUCUGAUCCAAAUGAGACCAAAAAUAUUUCGUUGUUUGAUUUGACAAAUUCUUUUUAUUCUUUUAUUUAAUUUACGUGCUUAUUUAUUUGGGGUAGUUAGUUUAUUACAUAAGCAGUCGCCUUUUGUUAUAAAUUAUGUCAUUUUUUUCUCCCAGCUUAUCUUAUUAUAUGUUUUUAUCACUUAGAUAAUCAACAAUUCAAAAUAACAAAAUAACAUGUGUUUGUUUCUUAAUUACUUAAUCACUUAGUUAACAAUUAAGUUAAAAUAAGAGACCUUUAUUUGAUCACGUAGAAUCGUCACGUAGAAUACGAAUUCAGUCGGAAACCACUUUUGUAGACCUCGAAAGGUUCCUAACAUCUUUCUUUCGAGGUAAUUUGAACCCUUACCAAAAUUUCUGGUGAACUAAGACAAUACAACAAAAUAGGUUAGUAGCAGCCUAGAUCGAUGCCCUAACACACCUUAAUUCGUUAGGUGGAGACUCUUCAUAUUCACACCCUUAAAACAAUCCCGAAAAGAGUUUGUCACGUCAAAUUCUGCUUUUCGCGAGAAAAAUGAGGCGUGACACAUGGUCCCUCAGCCUUAUCAGUUUGAACCUAUCAAUCUUAACUGUAAAAUGCAAUAUGUUAUUUGAAUGAUUAAUGCCUAAUCGGUAAUGAAAAAUAUUUACAAAAUCAGUGUACUCUAUGUGUGUUUUCAUGAUAACAUGAUCAAUAUAUAUACCUCCCAUAUAUGAAGUGGUUCCAUCUGGAAGAAGCUUAUUCCUCCGAACCCAUCUGUACUCUAGCCUUUUAUGUUGGUCGGGCAAAAGUUGAUUCACUUUCACUUUCUUUUCUUUUGGGAGUCAUAUUUUAUCUACAAAUAAGAG